ACAAGGAUCACACUCUAGGCUGGCUGGCACAACUUUUUACCAUUAGGAGAACAUCCAUCUUUAUGUGCCUCAUUCUGGCCACUGUAUAAAAAAAGUUUGAUCAAAGUGUACUUUUUUAAACUGAAGAAAAUAUUUUAUGUGAUGCCUGAAUGAGUUUGUGCUGUUUAGUUUGCAUAUCAUAACCUUAGUGGCUUGUUGGCUAAAAUAUUGAAAUUGCAAGGUUUGUUGUCUUGGAAGAUAUGAAUAUUAUAUGAUUUUGUCAGGGCUUGCAUAAUUUUCUCACUGCCUUUUCUAUGUUAGCUCUCCAAGGAUAAUAGUUUAUAACAUAAUCUGUACACUCCUUUAAGGUCCAAGUGCUACUCAAGGGCAGUGGAUGAAACAAUGGAUGAUCAGCUUGGAGGGCAGAAUAAUCUGCGAGGGUGUGCAACCAACCUUUCUCUCUGGACUUGCUGCUUUGUUUUCACUAUAUUACAUCUUCAACCUGUAAUAUCAAGAGGAAGCCGCAUCCACACUGGAAUUCCUUCAAAGAUGAUUUGUUGGAAUAAAUCUGGAAAAAGGGACCAAGGCUGCAAAAGGAAAAGUGACAUCUAAAAAGACUGGGAAAACUGUUCAAAAGAAGACCAUGACAGUCAAUCUGAAAGUGUCAAAUCUUUUAAAAAGAUUGAUGGACUUUGAGUGGCACUUUAUUUAAAAUGUUUUUUGUUUUACAGUGGUUUGUAUAUACUGUUAUAUUUUUUUUGUAUUCUACUUUUUAUAUCCAGAAAGGGCUGGUGUUUGAUAAAGCCUUUUGUUGAUUUA
Erpetoichthys calabaricus (reedfish) is the source of this 798-nucleotide long non-coding RNA. RefSeq lists it as uncharacterized. The transcript has 2 exons. The record is from RefSeq and is a predicted model, not a curated record. NCBI's taxonomy places the organism in Eukaryota, Metazoa, Chordata, Cladistia, Polypteriformes, Polypteridae.